AGGUGCCUAUCGACUGUAACAGCAACUCCAUGAGGAAGCUUGAGGCUGUUCCCAUGGGGGGGCUGUUAUUUUGGAUGGGCAC
Ophiophagus hannah (king cobra) is the source of this 82-nucleotide microRNA precursor. It matches the Rfam family "mir-194 microRNA precursor family". Rfam says of the family: The hairpin precursors (represented here) are predicted based on base pairing and cross-species conservation -- their extents are not known. In this case the mature sequence is excised from the 5' arm of the hairpin. Lineage: Eukaryota; Metazoa; Chordata; Lepidosauria; Squamata; Elapidae. The record is from Rfam.